This 406-nucleotide ribosomal RNA is filed under the name uncultured bacterium. RNAcentral describes it as "partial 16S ribosomal RNA". It matches the Rfam family "Bacterial small subunit ribosomal RNA", at positions 30 to 526 of the family's 1533-position model. The record is from RNAcentral.
AUUGAACGCUGGCGGCAGGCUUAACACAUGCAAGUCGAGCGAGCGGCGGACGGGUGAGUAAUGUCUGGGAAACUGCCUGAUGGAGGGGGAUAACUACUGGAAACGGUAGCUAAUACCCCAUACCAUCAGAUGUGCCCAGAUUGGAUUAGCUAGUAGGUGGUGUAAUGGCUAACCUAGGCGACGAUCCCUAUCUGGUAUGAGAGGAUGACCAGCCACACUGGAACUGAGACACUGUCCAGACUCCUAGGGGAGGCAGCAGUGGGGAAUAUGGCACAAUGGGCGCAAGCCUGAUGCAGCAAUGCCGCGUGUGUGAAGAAGGCCUUCGGGUUGUAAAGCACUUUCAGCGAGGAGGCGUUACUCGCAGAAGAAGCACCGGCUAACUCCGUACCAGCAGCCGCGGUAAUUC